CCUACGGGCGGCAGCAGUGAGGAAUAUUGGUCAAUGGCCGAGAGGCUGAACCAGCCAAGUCGCGUGAGGGAAGACGGCCCUACGGGUUGUAAACCUCUUUUGUCGGGGAGCAAAGCGAGUCACGUGUGACUCAUUGAGAGUACCCGAAGAAAAAGCAUCGGCUAACUCCGUGCCAGCAGCCGCGGUAAUACGGAGUAUGCGAGCGUUAUCCGGAUUUAUUGGGUUUAAAGAGUGCGCAGGCGGAGGUGCAAGUCAGCGGUCAAAUUGCGGGGCUCAACCCCGUACUGCCGUUGAAACUGCAGCCCUUGAGUGCGCGAGAAGUAUGCGGAAUGCGUGGUGUAGCGGUGAAAUGCAUAGAUAUCACGCAGAACUCCGAUUGCGAAGGCAGCAUACCGGCGCGCAACUGACGCUCAUGCACGAAAGCGUGGGUAUCGAACAGGAUUAGAUACCCCAGUAGUC
This 459-nucleotide ribosomal RNA is filed under the name uncultured bacterium. RNAcentral describes it as "partial 16S ribosomal RNA". It matches the Rfam family "Bacterial small subunit ribosomal RNA", at positions 338 to 795 of the family's 1533-position model. The record is from RNAcentral.